GAUCAAUCCUGUGCUACCUGUAACUAUAUACAGAUUACAAAUGUGCAGAUAUGAAGAAGCUUAAGAAUCAAAACUUUUUGUGAUAUAUGACUAAUAAAGGUGAAGAAGAGGACGGCGUAGGAGGAAAAGAAUUGGGGGAUGAUGACAUAUGACAAGUGCAUUUUGGAUCAUGCAUUGCUUCAUUUUUCUGAAAAUCAAGUUUACUACAGAAGACACAAUAACGCCCAAGAGAUGCUUCUUUUCCACCCUCAUCGUCAUCUUCGGUGUCAUCUGGGGUCUCAUCUUCAUAGUGUUCCACAGCCACAACCUUCCCAGGGUCAAAUCUGGUGUAACUGAACCAGUAUCUAGGAAACAUCAGUUUAAGCAUUCUCUCCAAAUGUUUGUCAAAGUAUUUGUUUCCUUGCUUGUAAAACAACAGAGGUGCAAUGGAGAUUGCUGCCCCUACUCCAUAUCCCACACCCGUAAAUAUGAACUGCCAAUCAUAAGAGUCAUCUUGAGAACUUGGUGCUGGUUUCAACUCUGAAGUAUCGCUUUUGCAAAUGACGUUAAGAGGGAGCCCGCAUAGGCCUCUGUUUCCUUCAAAGGAUUCUGCUGAGAAUGUUUCAAAUUGAUUACUUUGCGGGAUUUUUCCAAACAAAUUGUUGAACGAUAAGUUCAAAACUGCUAAGAAUGUGAGACUUGAAAGCUCUGAGGGGAUCUCCCCGGACAGGUGGUUUCUUGACAGGUCUAGUGAUUCAAGCAUUUGUAGCUUCCCAAUUGAUUUUGGAAUUGGUCCCUCGAGGGCAUUGUGUGACAGGUUCAAAACAUAAAGUGAGCUAAGAUCCCCAACAGUAUCUGGUAUCUUUCCUUGAAAUCUAUUGGAAGAGAAAUCAAUAGAUGUGAAGACCCUAAGAA
Molecule: unclassified non-coding RNA, 894 nt
Filed under: Hevea brasiliensis (rubber tree)
Lineage: Eukaryota; Viridiplantae; Streptophyta; Magnoliopsida; Malpighiales; Euphorbiaceae
Source: RNAcentral